This 63-nucleotide transfer RNA is filed under the name Rattus norvegicus (Norway rat). It matches the Rfam family "tRNA", at positions 1 to 62 of the family's 71-position model. Rfam says of the family: Transfer RNA (tRNA) molecules are approximately 80 nucleotides in length. The record is from Rfam by way of RNAcentral. Lineage: Eukaryota; Metazoa; Chordata; Mammalia; Rodentia; Muridae.
GGGGAUUUAGCUCAGUGGUAGAGUGUUUGCCUAGCAAGCGCAAGGCCCUGGGUUCAGUCCCCA